Long non-coding RNA from Pyrus x bretschneideri (Chinese white pear), 2199 nucleotides. RefSeq lists it as uncharacterized. The transcript is spliced from 2 exons. The record is from RefSeq and is a predicted model, not a curated record. Lineage: Eukaryota; Viridiplantae; Streptophyta; Magnoliopsida; Rosales; Rosaceae.
UAUAAUGGGUUAGUAAUAACGUGAUUCAAAUUCGUCAUUGGCGAGAAUCGAACCUAAGACCUCUCACUUACAAGUGAAGAGGAAUACCACUGGACUAUAGAACUAAAUGACCAUUAAUACACGAUUUUAGAAAAAAACUAACUUAUCAAAACACAUAUAUAUGGUUGCACGUGAGAUAUAGCCAAUGAAUAGCAAUAAUUUUAUAGAUAGGCAAUUUCAACACUCUAUACAAAAAUGAUCGUCAAACUACAUUUCGCAAUCAGGAAACAAAAGAUAAUCAAGAGCCCAUUGUAGAUCAAAGUUUUAAAUAACGCAUUGUGUGAGGUGUAGCAAGGUGGAAGGAUUUUGCUCCAAGGCAUUAAAUGUUUUGCAGUUGUCCCAUUUAGCCAACACUAUUUGGAUAUAGCAUGCGCUACACUAUUUGCGCAAUAAUGACGACUCUAGCCUAUCUGGGAUGUUCCUAUUCAAAAAUUAGAUAGAAAGAAACUCCGUCUUCUUUUUAAAUAAUUUUCUCGGCAACCAAACAGAAUUAAACAAAACUGAAAUUCACUUCCGAGAAAGAGGGAUUCGUACCCCGCCUAGUGUAAUAUACAAACAGAGAACACAACAAAAUUUUUUCUUCUUUCUAAAUUAUUUUUCACGGGAACCAAACAAAAUUAAACGAAACCGAAAUUCACUUCCAAGAAAGAGGAAUCCGUACGCCGCCUAGUGUAAUACACAAACAAAGAAUAAAACCAAUAGUGUAAUAUACAAACAGAGAACACAACAACAAAAUUUUCUUUUCUUUCGAAAUUAUUUUUCUGGGCAACCAAAUAGAAUUAAACGAAACCGAAAUUCACUUCUAAGAAAGAGGAAUCCGUAUUCCGUACGCCGCCUAGUAGAGAAUACAACAAAAAUUUUCCUUCAUUCUAAAUUAUUUUCUCAGCAACCAAACAAAAUCCAACGAAACUAAAAUUCACUUCAAGGAAAGAUGAAUUCGUACUAGUUUGAGAUGGUUGUGAACCAUGGGAGAGAUCUGACGGAAAUUCACCUGAAAUCUUGUCUCAAUUGAGGGUGGAUGCACAAGAAACUUCGAAAAAACAUGCGGAGGAGAGGGUCUUUGCAAAAGGCGAAAAUGAAUUCGUUUCCUCUUUUGUAUGCACUGUGGGGGUUGAACGACAUGAUGUUUCCUCUAUAACGUGCGGCAAAUGGCGGUUCCAUCUUCGUUCUGUGCAACUGCCGCAACUACUCCUCUAUGUGGGUGUGUGGAAAGUUUCGAAUUAUCUAGAGUGUUUUUUUUUUCUUUUAUAUUUUUAGAUAAGCCUUUGAAACUUUAUUUUGUCUUAUUUUAUUCAUGUAACUCAAAAGUUAUUAUUUUAUUUUUUAAAAUUCAAAAUCCGUUUUAUUUUUAGCUGGAUUGGAAUUGCUUAAAUUUUUUAAAAUGAGUUCUUUAGAAAAGUUGAGCCAUAAAUUUUGUUUGGUAAAUAGAAUAAAAAGGAUUUUUUUUUCUUUGAAAAAUGAUGUAUCAAAAAGAGCAGAAAGCAAAACAAGGUCUACCCGUGCUUUCUAAAAGCGCGUUUUUUUUUUCAUAGAGGUGCAUAAAAAUUAUCAAUUAAUGAACUAUUUAUGCUGACAAUACAACCCCUUUUUCUCCUAUGCGUUGUUCACUUUUCAACUCUCCAUAUUUCUCUCACACUCUCCUCUCCCUCUCAUCUGGUUCGAGCAGAGUCCCUUUUCUCCUCUUCCUCUCCUUUGGUUCAAGCAACAAAAGAUUUUUCUUUGCAGGAGCACCGGGGAAGUCAACCAUCAUACGAAUUGGGAUAUUAGGGGUUUAGGGCCAAAGAAAACGAGGGAAAAUAGAGGGUUUUUGGAGAAAAUGAUGUGAGGAAAAGGGGGAGAGAACCUAUCAAUUUAUAGUUCAUCGUGCAAAGAUCUCAGUACAUUGGCUGAAACGUUCAAUUUGCCAUUUUCAGAUCUCUUUGUGCAACAAGAUGUCGUUGUGCAAGAUAGUAACCGGAAAAUCUUUGUGCCUUCCCAACCUUUUUCCUUUGGCUUUGCGCGAUGAAAGUAUGUCUACGUCAUGCAAAGGUAUCUUGCGUGAUGUGAUUCUUUGUUGCACAAGUUUUUUUACUUUUUUUCUUUAAGAUGUUUUUGCUCGACUGUUCACUGAAUUCGUUACGCUAGUGUCAAUUUCGCGACGAGGUUUAAUUUGUUGUGCAA